AUGGUGGAAGAAUUUGAUGGGUCACAAAUAGAACUCAUCAAAAUUACUCUCGUCCCCAUCUCCAACCCCCUUCGCCCCGAGCCGAGCCGCCGCCUCCACCCCAACUCCAUAGCCUUCACCUUCCCCUCCGCCUCCCUAGCGCCGCCAUCUCCGCCCCAACUCCCGCUCACCCGCUGGCGCCGCCUCGUCCUCCACCUGCGCACACCCGCCGGUGAGAGGAGAAUGAGAGUGGCUGAGAGAGGGGAGUUCAAGAGGGGAGGGUUCGAGAGUGGGAGAGAGAGAGAUUGAGAGAGAUGGG
Molecule: long non-coding RNA, 298 nt
Filed under: Oryza sativa Indica Group (long-grained rice)
Lineage: Eukaryota; Viridiplantae; Streptophyta; Magnoliopsida; Poales; Poaceae
Description: lncRNA OsZS97_01G013830
Source: RNAcentral